Legionella tucsonensis is the source of this 45-nucleotide non-coding RNA. NCBI's taxonomy places the organism in Bacteria, Pseudomonadati, Pseudomonadota, Gammaproteobacteria, Legionellales, Legionellaceae. The record is from Rfam.
CAACAGGCGUCAUUCGACGCCAUUCUGAUAUAAAAUUAUUACGUA